CAUUUGUCCGUAUCCCCCAACUCAUUUCCUUGCCGUCUGUCGUGACUCGGGAGCUAUGGCCUCGCUCUUCUUUUCCUCGUGUUCAUCACUCAGCUCGUUAAAACCCUAGCCUUUCUUCCUCGUUCUCUACACCUUCCAAUGGCUUCUCAAAACCACAGUCAUAAUCACAAUAACGAUGAUAAUCACCUCAACGGCGACUAUUCUGUGUCUCGCGUGCCCAAAAAGCCCAAGCUUGGUUCCUUCAUUACUGACUCCGAAAUUCAAUCCGAAUUCGCUCACCAUGACCCCGCCGUUGCUCGGAUUAACAACGGUAGCUUCGGUUGCUGCCCCGCUUCUGUAAUUGCCGCUCAGCAAAAAUGGCAGCUGAAAAAUCUCCGCCAGCCGGACUCUUUCUACUUCAACGAACUCACGAAGGGGAUUCUUCAAUCCAGGACUAUUAUCAGGGAAAUUAUUAAUGCUGACCACGUCGAUGAGAUUUCCAUAGUCGAUAACGCCACCACGGCUGCUGCUAUCGUCCUUCAGCAGACUGCCUGGGCCUUUCAAGAAGGAAAAUUUCAGAAAGGGGACGUCGUUGUUAUGCUUCAUUACGCUUACGGUAGCGUCAAGAAGUCAAUGGAGGCCUAUGUUACUCGCGCCGGAGGCAAAGUUAUUGAGGUCCAGCUGCCUUUUCCUGUGAGUUCUAAUGACGAGAUUAUCACUGAAUUUAGGAUAGCACUGGAGAGAGGAAAGGCUGACGGUAGCAGGGUUAGGCUAGCUGUGAUUGAUCACGUCACUUCAAUGCCAAGCGUGGUGAUUCCUGUUAGGGAUUUGGUAAAGAUUUGUAGGGAAGAAGGCGUUGACCAAGUUUUCGUGGACGCAGCUCAUGCUAUUGGGUGUACUGAUGUUGAUGUGAAAGAGAUCGGAGCAGACUUUUAUACCAGCAAUUUGCACAAAUGGUUCUUUUGCCCACCUUCCAUUGCGUUUUUGUACUGUCGGAAGUCGCCUAGAUGCUCUGAAUUGCAUCAUCCCGUGGUGUCCCAUGAGUAUGGUAAUGGGUUGGCCACUGAAAGUGCUUGGAUUGGCACGAGAGAUUAUAGUGCACAAUUGGUGGUUCCCGCAGUUUUGGAAUUUGUCAGUAGAUUUGAAGGCGGCAUUGAAGGAAUCAAGAAGAGGAAUCAUGAAGCUGUUGUGGAGAUGGGUCGAAUGUUGGCCACGGCAUGGGGAACCCAUCUUGGUAGUCCUCCGGAUAUGUGCGCGAGCAUGAUUAUGGUAGGGUUACCUGCUUGCUUGGGAAUAUUGAGUGACUCUGAUGCUAUGAACCUGAGAACACAUUUGAGGGAUGAAUUUGGCGUUGAAGUGCCUAUAUAUUAUCGGCCACCAAAAGAUGGGGAAAUUGGAUUAGUAACUGGAUAUGCCCGAAUUUCUCAUCAAGUUUACAACAGAGCUGAUGAUUAUUAUAAGUUCAGGGAUGCAAUUAAUCAACUUGUGCGCAAUAAGUUUACUUGUGCCCUCCUUUCUAAUUGAAGAGGUGUUCUCUGAACUCGCUUGGAUUAUAACAUCCGCUUUGUACAAGAUGUAGAAAAUAGAAAUCCACUGGGUCAUGCAUGGCUUGACUUAUCUAGAAUCCCCCCAGCUGCGGAACAUGUUAGCAUCAACUUGGGUGUUUCUUCCAUUCUAAAAGCUCUCGUGCUCAAGUGAAAAUAAGCAACUUAUAUCCUAUGCAUGGUAGGGGGUCUAGGAAUCUUUCAGAUGAAUAACGGGAAUAAUUCAGUAGCUUACAAGUGUGGGGCCAGUAAUGAUGGUUUUGGUACCAUGGAGUUUUUAAGUUGUAGAGAUAGUGCAGCUGCAGCGAGUGCUCGAGUUAGUGUUGUGAGUUGAAUUACUACCGUGGAAGCCAAGUUCACGUGGAUUCUAAAUUUUACAAAUCCGUCAAUUUGACUAAGGGGGCGUGAUUGACUGAUUGGCUCGCCUGCGGAGCGGAGAGACGUAGGGAAGAUGGGAGGCAAGCAAUCAACAGGCCAUUCUUGGGAUAUCAUUUGUCAUGAAAAUGGAGCAUGGGAAUGUGGGUUCAUGAAGAAGAAAUUAGUUUUGUUUACAUCCAUAGCAUAGCUGAGAACCUUAAUCUUUGUUAGAGAUGGAUUUAUUGAUUUUCAUGAAAAUGGAUUGAAAUGUAAUUGAGUUUGCUUGGGAUGAUUUUAACAAUAUUAAUGAUCUUGAUUAUCA
Prosopis cineraria is the source of this 2202-nucleotide RNA transcript. It is a transcript of the gene named probable L-cysteine desulfhydrase, chloroplastic, with no coding region annotated. NCBI's taxonomy places the organism in Eukaryota, Viridiplantae, Streptophyta, Magnoliopsida, Fabales, Fabaceae. The transcript has 5 exons. The record is from RefSeq and is a predicted model, not a curated record.